This 1447-nucleotide ribosomal RNA is filed under the name uncultured organism. RNAcentral describes it as "SSU rRNA". It matches the Rfam family "Bacterial small subunit ribosomal RNA". The record is from RNAcentral.
AGCUACAGGCUUAACACAUGCAAGUCGAGGGGCAGCAUGGUCUUAGCUUGCUAAGACUGAUGGCGACCGGCGCACGGGUGAGUAACACGUAUCCAACCUGCCGUCUACUCUUGGACAGCCUUCUGAAAGGAAGAUUAAUACAAGAUGGCAUCAUGAGUCCGCAUGUUCACAUGAUUAAAGGUAUUCCGGUAGACGAUGGGGAUGCGUUCCAUUAGAUAGUAGGCGGGGUAACGGCCCACCUAGUCUUCGAUGGAUAGGGGUUCUGAGAGGAAGGUCCCCCACAUUGGAACUGAGACACGGUCCAAACUCCUACGGGAGGCAGCAGUGAGGAAUAUUGGUCAAUGGGCGAGAGCCUGAACCAGCCAAGUAGCGUGAAGGAUGACUGCCCUAUGGGUUGUAAACUUCUUUUAUAAAGGAAUAAAGUCGGGUAUGGAUACCCGUUUGCAUGUACUUUAUGAAUAAGGAUCGGCUAACUCCGUGCCAGCAGCCGCGGUAAUACGGAGGAUCCGAGCGUUAUCCGGAUUUAUUGGGUUUAAAGGGAGCGUAGAUGGAUGUUUAAGUCAGUUGUGAAAGUUUGCGGCUCAACCGUAAAAUUGCAGUUGAUACUGGAUAUCUUGAGUGCAGUUGAGGCAGGCGGAAUUCGUGGUGUAGCGGUGAAAUGCUUAGAUAUCACGAAGAACUCCGAUUGCGAAGGCAGCCUGCUAAGCUGCAACUGACAUUGAGGCUCGAAAGUGUGGGUAUCAAACAGGAUUAGAUACCCUGGUAGUCCACACGGUAAACGAUGAAUACUCGCUGUUUGCGAUAUACUGCAAGCGGCCAAGCGAAAGCGUUAAGUAUUCCACCUGGGGAGUACGCCGGCAACGGUGAAACUCAAAGGAAUUGACGGGGGCCCGCACAAGCGGAGGAACAUGUGGUUUAAUUCGAUGAUACGCGAGGAACCUUACCCGGGCUUAAAUUGCAGAUGAAUUACGGUGAAAGCCGUAAGCCGCAAGGCAUCUGUGAAGGUGCUGCAUGGUUGUCGUCAGCUCGUGCCGUGAGGUGUCGGCUUAAGUGCCAUAACGAGCGCAACCCUUGUUGUCAGUUACUAACAGGUUCCGCUGAGGACUCUGACAAGACUGCCAUCGUAAGAUGUGAGGAAGGUGGGGAUGACGUCAAAUCAGCACGGCCCUUACGUCCGGGGCUACACACGUGUUACAAUGGGGGGUACAGAGGGCCGCUACCACGCGAGUGGAUGCCAAUCCCCAAAACCUCUCUCAGUUCGGACUGGAGUCUGCAACCCGACUCCACGAAGCUGGAUUCGCUAGUAAUCGCGCAUCAGCCACGGCGCGGUGAAUACGUUCCCGGGCCUUGUACACACCGCCCGUCAAGCCAUGGGAGCCGGGGGUACCUGAAGUGCGUAACCGCGAGGAGCGCCCUAGGGUAAAACUGGUGACUGGGGCUAAGUAGU